Molecule: long non-coding RNA, 2570 nt
Organism: Anabas testudineus (climbing perch)
Lineage: Eukaryota; Metazoa; Chordata; Actinopteri; Anabantiformes; Anabantidae
Source: Ensembl
AUUUGAUUUCUUCAGAAGUUGUUUACAAUGCGUUUUUUUAUGGUGUCGGUGGGCGGGGCUUGUGCGGCCAGAGGCUCGAGGUUCAACACCUGCGGAGGUUCAGCGACGAGGAAGAGGCAGAAAAAAGUGUUAAAACACUUCACUAAAACAUGAGGAUUUCUGUGACAGCGUCUUUGUUUUUAACUCUGGGAUUUAUACAUCCACUCUGCGUGUCGAUUCAUGCCCUUCCUGAAGAUGUGGAAGGAUCAGGUCCGGACCUGGACAGUUCUGGUUCUGGUUCAGGGGAUUGGUCAGAACAAGAUAUGAAGGUACACCCAGACAGCAAAGACAAGGCCACUGAUAUCCUACACAGGCCCGUGAUAGACAUAGAAUCAGAGUUUGUUGUUGUGGGAAGCAGCAAAAGCUUCUUCGAAAGCCCUCAAAUCCUUUCAGGUAUAAUUGCAGGAGGGGUAACAGGAGCUAUACUGGCUGCAAUACUCACAGCAUUAAUAAUAAUCAUGUGGCAGAAGAAAGGUGAUAGAGAAUACAUUCAGGGACAGCAGACCUACAGGGACGAAAUUGUUGUUUAACUGUCAGCCCAGUGUUGACCUUGUGAGCUACUGUAAAUGUAUUUUUUCCUCAUAUUUUUAAGGGGGGGACAGUGGGAGUGCCAGGGAUUCUUACCUGUGCAAAUGUAUCUGUUGUUGUUUAUGGAUACGUUAUUUAUUAACAUGAUGAAACAUGAAGAAUUGUCUUAAUUUGAUGACUGUUCUUUGACAUGUUUUUUUACAAAGCUUUAAAAUAUGUUCAUUUUUACCCAGGGUCAUGUAGCUGCCAUUGAGGCCUCUUGAGUGAUAUUCUGCUAAAUCUUUUUUGACUAUUUUGUAUUACUUUAAACUGAAGUCAGACGCUAAGACCAAGAAAACAAUCAGAACUCUUAAUUUAAAUAAUUUUUUGCUAAUUAGGCUUAGGUCAAGGGUGUGUAUGGCUUUGCAUUAAUUUGCGUAUUGUUGACACAUAGUCAAAAAAUAAUGAAGGAUGUACAUGUACUUUUACCUUAAAAGCACUACUUAACCACUAGUCAGCAGCACAGCUAUGUGCAUGUAGUUAAACUUGUCAGGACAAUUUUAAUGUGUACAUAAAAUUCUUGUUUUUUUACAGAAGACAUCUGACAAGUUGUAGCAGUGUUUAUACUUCACACCUUUUUUUCUACAUAGGGUAAAAAAGUAGUGAAAUCUCAGUGUAAUAUGAGCUAUUUAUAACUAGAAUCUGAAGCAUCUAAUUUAAAGAUGGAAGGAUUAAAUGUAAAUAAGACCAACAUAAUAAAUGAAGAUGAUCAGCUGCUACAAUGUAUGUUGCUCCAAUGUGUGUCAUGAAAUUAUAUUUACUAUUUUUGUAUUGAAUAAUUGUUAAUAAAUGUGCAUGAUCACACUUUCCUUUUGAAAAAUAUUACUUUUUUAUAUUUUGAGACAAUGAACACUGACAUAUAUAUGGAUCCUCCUUUCCUUUAUAGAAGCAAUGCACCUAGACUAAAAAACCCACAGAACCACUGUCUUUGUGGUAAUUUGCAUCUCUCUGCAGUCCUUGUGUCCCUGUGUUUUUUGUUUGUUUGUUUGUUUUUUUGUAGUUUCCGCCUGCAGCUAUAUUAUGUGCAUGGGCGAUUUAUAUGUUAAUAUAAUAAGUGGUUAUUUUACACAAUUGUGUAGUUGUUUUGCAUUGUCAUCAUUAUUAAUAGAUAGCUCUGGUGUGAUGUACCAGGUUUAUACAUCAUGUACAGAGGUGGAAUAUGACCAGAUAAAUUCAUUGAAGUUCUACACUUUAGUGCUAUUUGUAAGAACUUCACUUGCAUUUCUUUUAAGUUCACUACAAUUCAAAACAACUUCAUCAUAUGAAUUUGACAGCUUCGGUCAUUUUUAGGAUGCAGAUUCUCAAUACAAAAUAUAAUAAACUAAUAAAUUAUUAUGGAUUAUUUUGGAUCACCCACCUGGCUGUGUAGUUAAGAUUAGCUUCACCUUUACCAGCUGCAACACUAAGCUAAUUCCAAGUUAAAGGCAAUAAUACGUUUAAUAUAACAAUGCUAGGCUAUUUAACAGGAAUAACAUUAUUCUGUAUACUAUUCUGCACAAUGAGUACGUUUACUUUUUAAUACUAAUACCUUUUAAAGUUGUACUUACGUAUAUUUUGUUGAUCUAUAUUUUCUUGAGUAGAUUAUGGAGGGACAGAAAGUUCUGUUAAUCUCCAUGGCAACGAGGCUCGACGUUAUGACGCCAAAGACGUCACUGAACACCUUGAACAAUACGUGGAGCGUAUUUCCCCCGUUUUCACCAUUCUGCCUUUUUGUUGUUAUUCUAUUUAUUUAGGUCAUUAAUCAUUUAAGAAAUAUUCACGUUGGUGGUUAUAAGCUGACGGUGACUUUUUUUCAGGGCCAUUGGUUGAGACCCGUGUCAGUCAAAGUUAAACCCAGCACCGGCUCUUCCUCCCGACAGAGCGUUUGUUUUUAUCCACCGUGUGGCGUCGUCGUCGUGGAAGUGGUGUGGGCGUUUCUCCGCGUUCGUUCGUUGACUGUUGAUGCUGAGAACAUUUUUCUCCUC